UUAAUACUCUAGGGGAGCCUUUUAGGCUGAGAGGAAGUACGUCUUCGACCCUUUGGACCUGACCCGGGUAAUACCGGCGUAGGAAAGAGCUAUGGUAAAUUA
This 102-nucleotide non-coding RNA is filed under the name Clostridiaceae bacterium. Its description in RNAcentral is "TPP sequence". It matches the Rfam family "TPP riboswitch aptamer (THI element)". Rfam says of the family: Vitamin B(1) in its active form thiamin pyrophosphate (TPP) is an essential coenzyme that is synthesised by coupling of pyrimidine and thiazole moieties in bacteria. Lineage: Bacteria; Bacillati; Bacillota; Clostridia; Eubacteriales; Clostridiaceae. The record is from RNAcentral.